Molecule: ribosomal RNA, 403 nt
Filed under: Verrucomicrobiota bacterium
Lineage: Bacteria; Pseudomonadati; Verrucomicrobiota
Description: Verrucomicrobia bacterium partial 16S ribosomal RNA
Rfam family: Bacterial small subunit ribosomal RNA
Source: RNAcentral
UGGGGAAUAUUGCACAAUGGAGGGAACUCUGAUGCAGCGACGCCGCGUGAACGAAGAAGGCUUUCGAGUCGUAAAGUUCUUUUAUAUGGGAAGAUAAUGACGGUACCAUAAGAAAAAGCCCCGGCUAACUACGUGCCAGCAGCCGCGGUAAUACGUAGGGGGCUAGCGUUGUCCGGAAUCACUGGGCGUAAAGGGUUCGCAGGCGGUUAGAAAAGUCUGAAGUGAAAGGCAGUGGCUCAACCAUUGUAGGCUUUGGAAACUGUUUAACUUGAGUGCAGAAGGGGAGAGUGGAAUUCCAUGUGUAGCGGUGAAAUGCGUAGAUAUAUGGAGGAACACCGGUGGCGAAAGCGGCUCUCUGGUCUGUAACUGACGCUGAGGCUCGAAAGCGUGGGGAGCGAACAGG